UGGGGGAUAUUGCACAAUGGGCGAAAGCCUGAUGCAGCGACGCCGCGUGGGGGAUGAAGGCCUUCGGGUUGUAAACUUCUUUUGCUCUGAACAAGGCAUGCCUUUGGGGUGUGUUGAGUGUAGGGGUUGAUUAGCGCCGGCUAACUACGUGCCAGCAGCCGCGGUAAUACGUAGGGCGCGAGCGUUGUCCGGAAUUAUUGGGCGUAAAGGGCUUGUAGGUGGCUGGUUGCGUCUGUCGUGAAAGCUCAUGGCUUAACUGUGGGUUUGCGGUGGGUACGGGCUGGCUUGGGUGCAGUAGGGGAGGCUGGAAUUCCUGGUGUAGCGGUGGAAUGCGCAGAUAUCAGGAGGAAUACCGGUGGCGAAGGCGGGUCUCUGGGCUGUUACUGACGCUGAGGAGCGAAAGCGUGGGGAGCGAACAGG
Molecule: ribosomal RNA, 420 nt
Filed under: Fusobacteriota bacterium
Lineage: Bacteria; Fusobacteriati; Fusobacteriota
Description: Fusobacteria bacterium partial 16S ribosomal RNA
Rfam family: Bacterial small subunit ribosomal RNA
Source: RNAcentral